This is a long non-coding RNA of Anguilla rostrata (American eel), 812 nucleotides long. RefSeq lists it as uncharacterized. Lineage: Eukaryota; Metazoa; Chordata; Actinopteri; Anguilliformes; Anguillidae. The record is from RefSeq and is a predicted model, not a curated record. The transcript has 2 exons.
AUUAAAAGAUUUUUGAACUUUAUUGACACUUGAAUUACGACGUAUGAAGUCACGCCUGGGACGCACGCUAGUGCCGCACAAUCAAAGUCCAGCUGUGUUUGGGGAUUGUGCUGGGCUUCCUGUGUGAGUUAGCUCCAACCCUGAGGGCUUCUGUGUUGUGACUCAGAGCAUUGAAAAAGGAGAAGCAAGCCGAAAGCGGAGCCAUUAUGUGGGAGUUGUUGGAGACAGACUCUGAUUCAUCUCACCUGCUUUUACAGGGGUAAAGCUGCUGCUGAUUGGGCGAAAGGUGGGCAGGGGCCCUGUGCAGUGAAAUGGGCUGUACGUGAGCUUGUGACUUGGAUAAAUGGAGUGCGUCUGCAUCGACUGUGAGCCAGCGUGUCGUCCUUUGUAGGCCCGCACAAACGCCACACGACUUCCCCCUGCAGGCCCCCGGUUACUGGAUCUCAAGCAUUGAUUAAUUUCCACACGCCGGGGCUAUUUUUAGCCCGCAGAUUAUCAUGAAACAGUGCCCAAAUCAAAUCUGAAAAACCACCCCUGGGCCAGAGCGACAGGAUCAUUUGCAUAUUAAAAGACAUCAACCCCCAGGGAGAGAGAGGAAACAGCUCAGCCAUUUUCUGGAAAAAAAAUAAUGUCUUCUGAGAGUUAAAAAUAGUUUUAGUGAUCUCUUGACGGGCACUGUACCCUUGCGCGUGCUUUAAAUCGUCUGCCGUCAAAACUUCCAGCGAGAAUUACGUGAAAGUACGUCCAGCUCUCCUGCAGGAGACAUUGCUAAAAAUAAGGACACAUCGCUGUAAAUAAAUGAAGGAAUUAUU